This 270-nucleotide long non-coding RNA is filed under the name Vigna radiata. Its description in RNAcentral is "long non-coding RNA (VRAD_LNC000703)". The record is from RNAcentral. Lineage: Eukaryota; Viridiplantae; Streptophyta; Magnoliopsida; Fabales; Fabaceae.
AAUUUUUCUUACCAAGCUGAUAAUAAAAUAUAAAUUAAGAGUAAGGGAAAGAGAAAAAUGCACAGGUGAUUUUAUCCUGGUUCAGAUCACAAGGAUCCUACGUCCAGUCGCUUAUCUCUUAACAAGAUAAACCUUUUUCCACUAAACACAAAACAAUUACAAAUAUUAGUCACAAAGAAAAAUAAUUUGUAACAGUUUAGAAAUACCACCUCUCUUGAAACCACAAGAGAUGAACUUACAAACACCUCCUUUGAAUGAUCACAAAGGAUG